CUUCUCUUUCUUUUCCUUCUUCUCCUUCAUCGUCGUUCUUAUCCUUUUUUGCGAUCUCUUCUUCGUCUUCAGCUUUAGCUUUUCGCCUUUGAUUACUUCUCCUUUUCCCGAUCGUUUCAUCUCUUCUUCGUCGUUUUGGAACCCUAAAUUUGAGGAAGGUCACUUAAGUAAAGGAUGCUCAUACGAUGAUUCUGAAGAAAUCUGUUGAAUAGGUUCAUCAAGUUCCAAGCAUUACUGAGGGUUGUCAAGGAUUAUACCAAAUCUCAUGAUUCAGUUGUUUAGGAGGUUUUAAUUGUUACAAGUAUCCUGCUUUUUGCUAACCUUGGGCUUAUCUCCAUUUUUCAUCUUAAGUACUGUGAUACUGAAGACAUACACAAUCUAUGAAGCCAUUCACAAAUCCCUUGUUCAGAGAAAAAGCGGGACAAGAAAGAUGGCAUACGAUCAAGGUGUAGCAUGAUAGAUUACUGGGUCACCGAAGAAGAGUGACUCUGGGAGCGAGGCCGAUCUCCAUGCAGCGUGAGGACCAGAGAUCUCUGCAUUUAGUGUUGCUGUCGGUGCGGGCUUGCAGGGUGUGGUUGCUUAUGUUCAUAUAACUUGCUACUAUUUGAUCGGAAUUCCCCUUGGAUGUUUGCUUGGUUAUGUAUUGGGUUUCCAUAUUAAGGUUUAUGAUUACUUUGUUCAUUUAAUCUUGGUGAUCCCUAAUAAAGGUUGCUAAUCAACGUGACUUCAACAAACAAAGAGAAAUCUUACAGACCAAGUUGACUUUUGGUAUGCUUUGAUGUUUUAUUUCUCAUUUUGUGUUGAUUGUUAGUGUUAUCUAUCGAGGAAUAUAAUUAUUAGAGUUGAUCAUGUUAUGCACGUAGAUGAUUUGUAAAACAUCUUUAUUCCUUUUGCUUGUUUUGAUUAAUGCAUGUUAAUUGUAGAUGUUGAUGUAGUCAUUUUGAUUACUAAAUGCAUGAAUAAAUAUGAACAGUAAAUGUGUAUGGUGAGAUUCAUUUGACAUGUAAGCUCUUUAGAUUACUACAUGAUAAAAUAAAUAAACAAAAUGAUCUCUUAUUAUAUUUAAUAUUUAUUCAUGCAUGUAUAUAUUGUCUACUGUUUUACAUGCUUUUAAAAUUAUUUAUGAACAUAUGUAUUAAUAUACAUAGUAUGGGAAUUAACAAAUGGUGCCUAAUACUUAAUUAAAAAUAGUGGUUGUAGGACAAAAAUGUUGUCAAGACAGUGGAUGUAUAAUCAAAAUCUACCUGGCCAAAAAGGAUUAAUUGAUGAAUUUAUUACCGGGGUGGAUGAAUUUAUCCAGUUCGCAAUUAAUCAAGAUGACUCAUAUAAGAA
This is a long non-coding RNA of Dioscorea cayenensis subsp. rotundata (Guinea yam), 1332 nucleotides long. RefSeq lists it as uncharacterized. The record is from RefSeq and is a predicted model, not a curated record. NCBI's taxonomy places the organism in Eukaryota, Viridiplantae, Streptophyta, Magnoliopsida, Dioscoreales, Dioscoreaceae. The transcript has 7 exons.